AUCGGACUUUUGCUGAUGAGGUAUCACUCCGACAGAAAAGUAGAGACCUGUGUAUGUGUUUCAUGUUUCCAACAAAGAAGGCAAAGGAAAGUUGGCGCGGGCAAGACGUGAAUAAGGCAAAGGAAAGUUGUCGCAGGCAAGACGUGAAUAUAAGUACAUAUUUAGUCCUAUCUUUUCGCUUUUAAGAUUUCUGUCUUUUUGAUUUCAAGACUUAUUUAGUCCUGUCUUUUCUCAUUCUGGUGCUUUGUGUCAAUACGUGGA
This is a long non-coding RNA of Nerophis ophidion (straightnose pipefish), 261 nucleotides long. RefSeq lists it as uncharacterized. The transcript is spliced from 4 exons. NCBI's taxonomy places the organism in Eukaryota, Metazoa, Chordata, Actinopteri, Syngnathiformes, Syngnathidae. The record is from RefSeq and is a predicted model, not a curated record.